Molecule: non-coding RNA, 599 nt
Filed under: Pan troglodytes (chimpanzee)
Lineage: Eukaryota; Metazoa; Chordata; Mammalia; Primates; Hominidae
Source: RNAcentral
GCGGGGAGAAAGAGCAGGGGGACGUCGGGCCUGCGCCUGGCACCGCCGCUACCUGGAUUCGCGGGCCCCUCACACACUCACCUGCCGGUAUUCUAAUCACAGAAUUACUGGAGCAUCAAGAAGUGCCUGCAUGCUUGGAAGGGCUUCCAGGCAGAUGAACACACCUCAGCACCGGGUGGCAUUUUCCCAGGGUGCAACCCGGAGCGGCUCUGGGUCACACUGACAAGGACAACAGGGUUAACAAUUUCCAGAGACAGCCCGUACAUAGAAGGAAUGUUUACUGAAAAAAAUGAAGAGGGGUCAGGGCAAGGCGAGGAGCGAGAAGCACCCCCAAGGAAACAGAGAAGACCAGUACAACUGUACCUCUUUGCCAGCUGCACCAUCCGUACCAGUCUCCUGGGGUGGAAGUGUCCAGCGCAGAGACUGCCACACUGCAAGAUGAAGGGGCUGGACACACGGAAGAGAGAGGCGGAACCCUGCACCCCCUCGACCUCAGCCCUACUGAGUCUCCAAUGGGGCCACGCUUCUGAGUGCACCUCCCCCUGUCAUCUGUAAUGUGAGGGGGAACCAGGCUUGAUAUGGCAUUCCCAAUCCAGGGC